UCACUUACCUGGCAAGAGAAAGAAACUGUGAUCAACGAAGGCACGUUCCCCAGGGUGAGGCUCAGCAUGCACUCCGUCGUGUGCUGACCCUGCGAAUUUCCCACAAUGUGGAAAUCUUAGCUUGAUUAAUUUAUGGUAUGGGAGGGACUGCGUCGCGCUCUCCCUCU
The sequence is a small nuclear RNA, 167 nucleotides long. Its record names the gene U1. It matches the Rfam family "U1 spliceosomal RNA". Rfam says of the family: U1 is a small nuclear RNA (snRNA) component of the spliceosome (involved in pre-mRNA splicing). Its 5' end forms complementary base pairs with the 5' splice junction, thus defining the 5' donor site of an intron. The record is from Ensembl.